UUACAGAAUAUCAGUGAAAAAACCAAAAUGGGGCAACAGAAAGCAUGUAUGGAGGUAACAGCAAGGACUUCGAAUCGAGGAUUACAGGAGCAUAAGGGGGAUGUCUCCAACAGGAGAUUACAUACAGUCUUGCCACCGCCCAUGUACAAAGAUGACUUGGAGGUGAAGUGGCAAGAUGCUAAAGUGGUAAGAACCUUAAGUAAGGUGAUGUAUGCCACAUUAGCAGAAGCAUAGAGGUGUUUGUGAGAAGGAGGAGGGAGGGACUCUUGAAUGAGCGCCCUGCACUGGAGCUGGCUGCAC
RNAcentral lists this long non-coding RNA (300 nucleotides) under Androctonus crassicauda. The record is from RNAcentral. Lineage: Eukaryota; Metazoa; Arthropoda; Arachnida; Scorpiones; Buthidae.